AUGUAUAUAUAUCAUAUAUGGGUUUAAGCCCAAUAAGAAAAAAGCAAAAAAACAACCAAAAAAUGAAAGGAAAAGUUAGUCACGUGAGAAAAGAGAAAAUAAAAAAGGAUACAGAGAAGAAGCAGUAGCAGUUCUGCCUGCAAGAAGAAAAAGGGAAAGAGAAAGAAGAAGGCAGUGUGUGAACAGAGGGAAGGAAAAUGUUGACAAUUUCAUUCAUCAGAGUGGCAGAGUAGCAUAGGAGGCAGAGGAAAGGGUAGCAUGCGGCUUGUAGCACAGAGGAAAAAAGGAUAAAAGCAAAGGAAAGUCAAGCAGCUAGGGGGGCAAGGAUGCAGAACAAUUAAUGUAAUGAAGAAAUUUCACUGAAGGCAAUCUGGAAGAUAAGAAAUCAGAUGGGAAACAGAUGGAAAAUUUUGGCUAUAAAAGGAGCCUUUCUUUCACAAAUUCAGACAACACAGAGACAGACUGAGAGCUUAGUGACCCACACACUCACAUACAGGAAAAUCACUCUCUUCCUCCCUACGCAACCCUCUGAUUCUCUCAACUCAAUCACCAACACACAAAAACUCACCCUCAACCAAGGAUCACCGCCACACCAUCGCCAUGUAGACCCAACACCACCACCGUAGUGGUGGCUGCCUCCUCAUUCCAAGCCACCACCGUCACCUCCUCCCCUCUCAUCCUCUAUAUCUCAUCAAACCACAAAUCAAAAACCAAGAAAUCAGUAACAUAACUCACAUCCUGGCCGCCACCCUCGCAUCUUCUUCCUCCUCAUUAUCAACCACCAUCACGCCACCUCCUCCCUAACAACACAGCAUCCUCUCCUUCUUCCCACACACUCCUCCUCUCCUCCACCAACAACCAUUUACACCAUCUCCUUCUCUCAAUAAAUCACUUUCAAGCCAACAUCAAAACCCAAAGCAAAAAAACAACAAAUAAACAGAAACAGGGAAGAAACAUAAAGGAAGAAGGAGGACGCAACCAUCACCGCCGCCAACCUUUAUCGCAGCUGGCCACCGCCAUUUCAGCCUUGCCGUCGUCGCCCCUCUGUGCCACUUGUUCCCCGCCGCUGGUCCACCAUCACGCGCCGCUGUUGCGCGCCGUUCCUUUUGUUCCAUCGCUGCCACCUCCAUGAACAGCACCCCACGCACCUCUUUCCAUCACCGCCAGUUUCCGCCGUCCGGAUCGCGCCCACCACCGCUGCCUCACGCAGAGCUGCCGCCAUCACUCGCGGUCGCCACCACCGGGAGCAUCACGCGCCACCGUUUCCAUUCUUCUUCCCCUGCACCAUUUCUCACGCCUGCAACAAGGUUGAGGCGGAUGUUACGAUGGCCGAGCUGAGAUUUUUCAGACAGGAUAUUAGCUAAGGACGAGCAGGUGGACAUUGGACCAAGGAUGAGCUCGCAAGAGAGGGGUUCCUCAUAGUGGUUUAGAUUUUGUUAGUGUCUAUAAAAAUGUAUAAAUGGGGCAUGGGUAGGUAUCAAAUGUUUAUGCCUUUAUACGGUCACCAAGUGUGGGAUCGUAGGAGGUGUAUCGGACUAAGAGGUGGUUUCUUUUUGCUGGCAGCAUGUACCUUAGAAAACGAGUCUUUGAAUUUGUAAAAUGAUGUUUCAAGGUUGACCUUUAUGUAAUACAUUUUGACUCGGAUAUAUGAUAUAUGUUGCAUCUGACUUUAUGCAUGC
Molecule: long non-coding RNA, 1679 nt
Organism: Lotus japonicus
Lineage: Eukaryota; Viridiplantae; Streptophyta; Magnoliopsida; Fabales; Fabaceae
Exons: 2
Source: RefSeq, a predicted model, not a curated record